GAGCGACAGAGGGGGGGGGGAUUGAGUGAGCGGGGUGGGGCCACAGGGAAGAGGCAGGGUAGAUCCUGGGUUAAUCUUAGAUUCAAAAAGCGAUCUUAUGCGUAAAAAGGUUGGAGACCACUGGUAUAGGAGGUCUUUCCUAUCUCAUUCCCCCCCCCCUUUCCCUCUCAGUCUUCCCCCCCCCCACCCAUCUCCACCCCGCUGUGGAGAGUCCAGGAAAGGAUUCCAUAGAUCAAAAUCAGCCUGGAAAAGUACACUGAGCAUCAGAAACUUGGUUUACACAGUUCUUGUAUUGAUUUAAUUAUUUUGAUUAGGCAUAUGAUUUUUUUAAAUUAAAACCAUUACAUUGAUACAAAUCCUAAUAUGGACACAAUUAUACUACUAUAACUUAUCCCUUUAAGCCUAUGGGAAUAAGAAUACCAGUAGCUGCAUGUUGAGAUCUGUAUUAACUGCAGCCACGCUAGUGGGGUUGUACUGCUUUAACUAUACCAUUAUAGUUAAAGCUGUACAAUUUUUGCAUGUAGAUAAGCCCAGAGAACUUGAUUCAUUUGAAUGCUGACACAAGGUAGAGUGUCUUCUGAUCCCUGGUAAUAAAUUACUCUAUUUCAAACCAUUCAAAAGUCUGUACCUCUGAAUAUCUCAGAGCUCAAUCAAUGAAUUUCAAUGGUAAUAAAAAGCACAUUUUUAUUUAAAAAAAACCCCUCUCAUUAAUGUGUCUGUAGCUAUAUACUUGAAUUGCUCCGUUCAAAUUGGAGCAUGAAAUAAGGAUAUUAGUCUUCAUAGUAAAACAGAUCAAACAAAUAUAGAGAUGAAAGACUCAUAGGUCAUAGUAGUUAGGAAAGGAAAAUACCUAUCCUCUGUCAGUGUAGUAUACAGUUCUCAAAAAAACAAAAUAAUAAUAUAAUUCUCCAAUAGAGGGUGUUUCUUGAUUGGAGAGACUGAUUUACUUCUGCGAUUACUUAAGCACCAAAAAUAGUACUUUCUGCUCCCUCCAUCUCCAGUCUCCUUCCAAAUCCUUACCUUGGGUAUUGCAGGGUUUCUUUGUUUCAAAUGGAAGAUCUGCACUAAGGAUCGUGGACAACUGGUUCUUUCUUUGCCUGAUGACCAUUUACAAUUUCUCACGCAGAAGAGCAAUUGUCUGUUCUGAGGAUUCAGAGGAAUACCCAAAUACUCCCAUUCCCUGAAGAAAAGUUCAAUUUUAGUGUGUUUUUAAAAUCUUCACAUUUCCUUAAGGGUAGAGUUAUAGUACUCUGAUGGCUGGAUUAGUUAAUGAAUGCUGCAAUUGGGAUCAUGGCAGAGUUGUUAAAAUUGGAGAAUAUCAGAAGUUGUAUUUCUGUAAACAGUCAGGAAAAUGUAAAAUCAGAACUCAUUCUGUAGCUGAUCUACAGUGCAUCUUUUACACUGAGCUCACUGGUGACAGAAUGGCAAACAAAAUUCAUCUUGGAGAAAGUGGACAAGCAGGUUUAUCUUGCAUUUUUAAUUUAUCACAAUCAAAAGAAAAAAAUCAAAUUAGGCUGUUUGGAGUAGGAGAAGGUGCUGUAGUCUAGUAAACUAUAUAGUCAAAGAGCAGUUCUAGUUUGACCUGGAUGAGCAGAUCAUUUUUAAACAGACUCCCAAAUUCCUACUUGUCCUGUAAGAGAUGAUUUUAGUAGCCUUAACUUUAUAAUCGUACACUUCAAGACAUUUCUUUUACAGGUGACUAGAGCAACUGAUGUAAGACUUCGUAUGCAGAAAAUUUUUUAGUGUGCUGAAUAUUAUUUGCUGUAUAAAUGAAUUUAGCAAAAAGGGAUUUGUGCCAUGGUGAAGAGCUCAGUUAAGUAACUAGAUAUUUGUUUUUAGAAAAUGUAUAGCACUAUUUAAACCACAAAAAAUGUAAAACUUGAAAUUCCCAGAGAAAAUUAUCUCCAAUAGUAGCAUGCAUUUAAAAAAAGAAACUCUUGUAUUAUGCUUUGUCUACAUACACACACACACUGCAUUGUGUUAACUAAAUUUGAUUUUCAAAUAUAUUUCAUCUCAUGCCAAUUUAUGCAGAUACACUUAAAUCCAAACUAAAUUGAUAUAAGCCAUUUGUAAACUGAUAACAUUGUCAACAAAGGAAGAUGCACCAAUUUAACUAUAAUCAGUUUUUUAAUUUGUUUUAGUUAAACUGGUGCAAUUUUUGUCUUUAGACAAGGCGUUAAUCUACCAUUAUGUCUAACAGCAACAUUUUGACUCAAAUCUCAUUGCCAGUAACUUUCUACCAUAGCUUCCCUUUUCCCAUCUCUAGAAUUGAGUUGUAAAAUGUAGAAAAUAAGUUGUCAAAAAAGGAAAUUUCAAAACCCUAACCACUGCUGUCUUCUUCCCUGUUAAAUGUCCCAGUUCUUUAUUUCUUGCUUUCCUCUUUCUGUCUGCAUUUUUCCUCUCCAAAGUUCUCCUUUCUUCAUCUCUCCUUUUUAUACUUUCUCUCCUGGUGUCUUUUACUUUAACUGAAAAUUUAACUUUUUUAACAACCUUGAAGAGAACUACAUUUUGUGUAUCCUCCCUUUCCCUUUGAUACUUGUCUCUCUACUUCUUUUCUUUUGCUACCAUUCCAUUGUUCCUCUCCUGCUCCUUCUUUUUCCCUUUGUUACUCCCGGGGGACUUCUGCCCUACUGCGCCAUGCAUAAUUUUGCAGAAAUUAAUGUUUUUUGCACAGAAUUUCCUUUUCCUCACAGAAAUGGGCUGCAGUGCUGCUGGCUACCAUUAGGGGCCACUGGACAUGGCAGAGCCCAGCUCACACAUAGAAGACACGGCCAGAGGGAUUCCUGGCAGCUGCAGUUCCCAGCACGCACUGGGGGAAGUAGGCGGCGGCAGCGCGCAGUGGUUUCAGUGCCACUAGAUGGGACAGAACACCACACCCAGAAGGUGUGUGGGUUACACAGACCCCUGGGAUACCUGUCUUGAAGAGCUGUGGUAGCUUGUCAUCAGUAUUGUUAGUAAGUGCCUUAAUCAUAACUUGGUUAUCGUUGAUAGAGUCUUUAGAAAAGUGUUAUUGCAAAAUGUUAUUAUUAAUUGUUUAAUGUUGUUAAGGAAGGGCUUCAAUGUGACUAGCACAUAAAACCAUGUGUGACAGGGUCAAGACUCACCACUGCUGGCGCCUCCCGCUGGUUGCUCCAGGAAUUAGCUUUUCCACUGCAGAGUGCCCUCAGUGCAUGGUGUCUUGUCAGCUGUCCGUUCUGCUCUGUGACCCGCAUUGCUUUCCGCUUGGCUGCAUCCUCUUCAGGACACUGCCUUCCGGCAAUGUCCACUACUCCAGACUCACCCCCUUCCGGGGCGAGGGGGGGGGGGGAGUUAAGAGCAGUCUUUGGGACUCGCACCUGCCUCAGUGGCCAACUGCAACCCACAGUCUAGCCCCUUAGCUCAGAGACAAGUUGCAGUCUGUAUUGGCCACUGUCUUCUGUGGCCAGAUGCAGUAUAAGGAGAAAUGUGUGGGAGGGAAUCCAGGCCCACCCAUUUCUCUGGGUCCCAGCCCAGGGACCCUCUAGCGGCAGCCUCCUUCUGCCUUCCUUCAUUCCCCUCCUGUCCGCUUUCCUUCCCUGGGCCAUUUUCUCUUUGGCCCUGUACACCUCCUCGACCCUUUGUAGCAGGGCCCGCCGCCUAACAGGUAAUGGGGCUGGAGCUCUCUCUUGCUCUGUCCGAGGUGCUAGCUCCUUCCUCAGGAGCCAGUCUGUCUUCCUUGCCAGCCAGGGAGAGACUGCCUCUGUCUCCUCCUGCUAGGCACUCUUUAUAUAGGGCCUUGCCCAGCCCUGAUUGGCUGCCUCUGCCCUGUCCUGAUUGGCUCCCUACCGGCCUUUGUUGAUUGACUGCUGGCCUGAGCAGCCUCAAAGGCCUGUUCCAACCCUUUUUUCACCACAACAUGUAAAUACCUCUUGCUUUAAGUGAUAUCUACUAAAUAUUCCUAUCAAGCAGGUGAAUAGUAAUAUUUAGCAUAUAAAUAAAUUCUUACUGGUUGUAUUUAUUUUAGGUUCUUUGAAGUCAUGGGUCCUGGGCUCCCAUUCAUGCACCAUGCUAUGACAUCAAAGCUGCCAAGUACUUCUCCUGGAGGAUUAAGAUAGCCUAUGGGUGAAUGGAGUAAGAUAAUUUUUUUAAAAUAUAAGGUUCUGAGAUUGCUCAGUUGAAAUUAAUAAGCGUUUUGCCACAAAUUCUAAUGAGAGCAGGAUCAGGCCCUUGGUGUAGGAGCUAAACCAUGUACCAGUGUUUUUUUGUGAUAGCUGUGACAUCAUAGCAAAGUGCAUGCUGGGGUACCAGAAGAACAGUGCCUAGCAACUUUUGUGUUCUUGAAAAGGGAGAAAAAAUUGAAUGCAUGAUCCAAAGCUUGUUGAAGUCAGGGGAAUCUUUUCAUUGAUUUCAGUGGGCUGUUUAAGGAGUGAAUGUGCUUUCUAUACUCUAAGCCUAAUUAAUGGGUACAUUCCUCACAAUUGUUGAAGUAAAUGUUUUUUUUUAUUAUUUGCAGGUCACCUUUAAAAUAUGGACAUAUUUGAUCAAAGUCCAACAAUUCUGAAUUUAUCUUGGCAGGUUGUUUAGCUCAGGAAAGUACUACCAUAGUAAUAAAGAUAUUGUCUUUAGUCCAUUAACUAAUUCAUGUGGAAAAAUUCUGAAGAUCAUGUAGUGUAAUGUCAGCAAAGAAUUCCCCAUGCUUGAAAAAUUACCUUUCCAAGCUCUGUGCAGCUUUGUCCUCAGAAUUUGUCCUAUUGUCUUCAGAAUAUUUCUGUUACUAGUAUCUCAGACUGUAUAGUGUCAUCUUUUUGCAUUUUCUAAGUUCCUUUCUGAUAAGUUAAUAAGUUCCUUACUAAGCAACUGCUGCACAGAACUAAGCAACUAACUGCAUCAGAAUUGCAAAAGAAUUUGUGUGAUUUUGUUAUGGAGUGAACAAGAACCACAAUGCAAUACAAAGCAAGAGUUGACGGGCACUUGGAGGAUGGUAUAAUUUCAUCCCGUUGUCACAAAUAGAUCGGAAGUGUUAUUCUUGCAUUCAGCAAUGACUUUAAGUUGUUGAUGUGAAUUUUCUGGACACUGCAACUGCAUCAGCUGAUUUUAAGGGCUCAUAACACAAAGACUGAGUUACAUCACGACAGUUACUAAGGACUGUGUAGUGACUUCAGUCUGCUCACGGAGUGAAGGCAGUAUAUGGCUCUAAAAUAGUCUGUAAUGCCUGAUAGAUUUGUUCCUCAGGGAAUCCCUUAUAUGAAGAAUGUUGUUCAUUUUAGACCCCAAAAUUACAGCUAUUCUACAUAAACGUGCUGGUAUUGCAGCUUUUAUUGUUGUAAAUUAUUUAUCUCAGAUAAGUUGAAUCUUCAUUAUAAAAAGUCUUGCUCUGAGGAAAUGAAUCCCACAAUGUUUAAAGCUUGUUGCUGUAUCUGUCAUUUUGUCCUUUUUGGGGCAGGAGGAAGGGUUCUGUACUUGAGCCUUGGGAGAUUGAGGUACAUACCAAUAAAUGCCAGUUACUUUUUUGAAACUGUUUUUGAAAACUCAUCUAAUACCUCACAUUAUCUUACCUAACAGUCUCAUUCCCAAAAGAAAACAGCCACACAAUUUGGAGAGAUAGAAAAGAUUACGGUUUUUCUGGCGUGGCUUAUAAUUAUAACUAAAUUCAGAGACACGUUGCACAAAUGAGAACAUGGCCAGAGGACAGAUUCUAAAGCCAAGGCAGUUAAGCCACUAUACAAGCGCGAGAGACAGACAGACAGACAUCAGUCGUGUGAUGUGACUGGGGUAGUUUAUUUGCCACUUCAGGGAAGGAAAUCAGCCAAUGAGAGGUAGAUGUUCACAAACCCGAAGAGUCACGUAACAAACAAUCUUGUAACUCAGGCCACCCUUUCUGAUGAAUUUGACUGUGCAUUAUACACUAGAGAACUUGUCUUAUCUAUUAUUUACUCUUUUUAUGGCAUUUACACUUCUACAUUUAAUAAUUUUAUAAUAAUUUCAUCUGAGGAUUUCUAAGUGCUUUACAAACACUAAUUAUUCCCCACAGAUAGGCUGUUGUUGUUCUCAUUUUACUCAUAAGGAACCUGAAGCACAAAGUUCUGCAAGGUCAUUCAAAGCUUCUCAGAUGUGUGCUCUAACACUAGACCCUACUGCCUUCCAUGACACGGAGUGGUAUAAUGGAUUGAUCAGCAUUCAUUGCGGAUAUAUGUAUUUAGAGUGUUUGUGUAUAUUUAAUUGCUUUUCCAGGUACAGUAUAUGAUAUGAAAUUAGCAUGGCGUUUUUGCUUCCUUAUAUGUGUAAUGAGAUGAGUUAUGCCAGCCGAGUUCUAAGAAUGUUUAUUAGUAGUGGUUGCUGCUGGAGCAGAGGAGAAAGCUCAGACAUUUUUGUUACCUUUAUGAUUUAAAAAAUAUUCACUGUCAUGGUGACUAAAUUGUAAAAAAGAAAUCUUUAGUAUCCAGAGGAUAUUGCCCAACAUAUGUCAUUUUAAAGUGGGUGAAAUUUUGGGCCCAUAUUACUUGCUAAUUUUAUGGUGUUCGGGGUCUUUAGCUUACUUCUGAUGCUUACUCAAUAAAGACCUGAUCCUGCAAAGUACUGAGGACUUCUUGUGACUUUACUGUGAGUUGAGGGUUCUCAGAACUACCCAGGAAGUGCUCCGUAUUGUGCAAGAUUCAGCCUGAAGAGCAGAGGCAUGUUUUGCCAGAACAUUUGUACCAUCUGUGACAUUGGAGGUUUUUAUAACUUUUCAGGGAAAAGGUGUGUACUCGACAGAGCUUCAAAUUGUGUUGAGAACAACACCCAGAAAAGGUAUUGAGAGUCACGGUGAGCAAAAUAUAGACACAAGGGCUAAUUUAACUCUUCAUGGACUCUGGAUUGAAACAAAAUUACAGCUCCAUAUUUAACUGCAAUAGUAUGAGAGAGACAUAUAUCAAUUGUCUGAUUUCCAUUACUCAUCUGCUUUAACUUCCAAGUCAACAACUAGUCUGUUAAGAUGCCUGGACUGGGGCAUUAGCAUUGUGAUAUCUUUUUGCUGACUAUCAGAAGUGUUUUACUUCACCUAAUCAUUUUGGCUUACACACACUAGUCUUAUUUAUACAACAUUUAGAGUGUGCUAAGUGCUGUACAGACUGAUCAGACUGUUCCUGCCCCAAAAGAGCUUACAGUCUAUAAAUUUACAGUCAUGCUACUGUCUUUUCCUAGAUUAUGCAGUUUAUUAAUGUCAAGAAUAAAUUCAGGAAUUGGUAGGUUAAUGGAUCCCUUUUCUUUUGAGAAUACUCUAACAGUCUUGAUGUAUAAGGUUCCAAACAAUUAGUCAAUGGUACUAAUAAAAGCAUUAGCAACUUUGCCAUUACUCUUAA
Molecule: long non-coding RNA, 7298 nt
Organism: Trachemys scripta elegans
Lineage: Eukaryota; Metazoa; Chordata; Testudines; Emydidae
Exons: 2
Source: RefSeq, a predicted model, not a curated record